This 253-nucleotide ribosomal RNA is filed under the name uncultured bacterium. RNAcentral describes it as "partial 16S ribosomal RNA". It matches the Rfam family "Bacterial small subunit ribosomal RNA", at positions 524 to 776 of the family's 1533-position model. The record is from RNAcentral.
UACGUAGGGUGCAAGCGUUGUCCGGAAUUAUUGGGCGUAAAGAGCUUGUAGGCGGUUUGUCGCGUCUGCUGUGAAAUUUCGGGGCUCAACCCCGAACUUGCAGUGGGUACGGGCAGACUAGAGUGUGGUAGGGGAGACUGGAAUUCCUGGUGUAGCGGUGAAAUGCGCAGAUAUCAGGAGGAACACCGAUGGCGAAGGCAGGUCUCUGGGCCACUACUGACACUGAGAAGCGAAGGCAUGGGGAGCGAACGGG